GUUUCCUCUGGGGUAAGUGAUUGCUUCUACACUGUGAAAAUUUGGCUGAGAGACUCAGACUGGUCAUGGGUAGACCUAUCUGGGGUUUGAUCGAUGCCACUCCUGGUUUCAGGAGCACCCUUCAUAAUAAACCUAGAAAUUCAGUAUUAUAAAGUUUAAUAAAAAACAACUUUUAACAAUGGAUCUCUUGGUUCUCGCAUCGAUGAAGAACGUAGCAAAGUGCGAUAACUAGUGUGAAUUGCAUAUUCAGUGAAUCAUCGAGUCUUUGAACGCAGCUUGCACUCUAUGGUUUUUCUAUAGAGUACGCCUGCUUCAGUAUCAUCACAAACCCACACAUAACAUUUGUUUAUGUGGUAAUGGGUCGCAUCGCUGUUUUAUUACAGUGAGCACCUAAAAUGUGUGUGAUUUUCUGUCUGGCUUGCUAGGCAGGAAUAUUACGCUGGUCUCAGGAUCUUUUUCUUUGGUUCGCCCAGGAAGUAAAGUACAAGAGUAUAAUCCAGCAACUUUCAAACUAUGAUCUGAAGUCAGGUGGGAUUACCCGCUGAACUUAAGCAUAUC
RNAcentral lists this ribosomal RNA (558 nucleotides) under Rhizopus delemar. RNAcentral describes it as "eukaryotic LSU rRNA". The stretch from base 168 to 321 matches the Rfam family "5.8S ribosomal RNA". Lineage: Eukaryota; Fungi; Mucoromycota; Mucoromycetes; Mucorales; Rhizopodaceae. The record is from RNAcentral.